UACGGAGGGGGCGAGCGUUAUUCGGAAUUAUUGGGCGUAAAGGGCGCGUAGGCGGCUAUUCAAGUCGCGUGUGAAAGCCCCCGGCUCAACUGGGGAGGGUCACGCGAUACUGAUCGACUCGAAGGCAGGAGAGGGUAGUGGAAUUCCCGGUGUAGUGGUGAAAUGCGUAGAUAUCGGGAGGAACACCAGUGGCGAAGGCGACUACCUGGCCUGUUUCUUGACGCUGAGGCGCGAAAGCUAGGGGAGCAAACGGG
This 254-nucleotide ribosomal RNA is filed under the name uncultured bacterium. RNAcentral's name for it is "partial 16S ribosomal RNA". It matches the Rfam family "Bacterial small subunit ribosomal RNA", at positions 524 to 776 of the family's 1533-position model. The record is from RNAcentral.